This is a long non-coding RNA of Toxorhynchites rutilus septentrionalis, 1576 nucleotides long. RefSeq lists it as uncharacterized. The transcript has 3 exons. NCBI's taxonomy places the organism in Eukaryota, Metazoa, Arthropoda, Insecta, Diptera, Culicidae. The record is from RefSeq and is a predicted model, not a curated record.
UCUCAGAGUUUAAAGUCUCUCUAAUUCAAUACCUUCCUACCUUCCUUCGAGCGAGCUCAUUCUUAACUUGGAUGCAGAAGAACACACAGUGGAAAGCAGCAAAACCAACUUUUCGGACAUUAUCCACGGGCACAGCAGCAGCAACAGAGGAACCGACCAUUUGGACAGUAGCGGAGCACACAUCGGACAACAGCAGCAGAGGAUCCAACCUUUUGGACAGCAGCGGAGUGCGCAUCGGGCAGCAGCAGCAGAGUUCAGUCGUAUAGUAGCGGAGCGUACUUUUGGGACAGCAUCAGCGGAGCACACAUCGAGCAGCAGCAGCAGCGGAGUACUUUUCAAUCGGCGGAAGGAAAAUCGUAACCAGACAGCAAAUAUGAUGUCCGGAUACGACACCUAAUUUGAAUUAUUUUCUAUAGACGUUCAGAUAUUCUCAAAAAAACUUGUCAUUAUAAUAUAAAAUUAUCUCAAAACAUAUUUUUUUAUGACGUUUUUUCACCACUUGUAGGCAAUGGUGAUUUUCACUUACAUAGAGUACUAAUUUGAUUAAGGAAAAAUCAUGUUCAUUCAUAAUUUUCAUUUUAAAAGUAUAUUCAUUCCUUCUGCAAAUCCAUACUGUCAUGCCUCUUCCCCAAUAUCGUCAACGCGAAUAGUUCGUUAGUCGAAAAUACUGAAUAAUUAAACAAACUAAAUGGCGUCACUGGUGGUUCUUUUUUCCACUCCGCUAAACUGUCAUCUCAAACAAAAACAAAUGGAUCAUACAACUGCUAUGAAUACAUUCGACUCGUUUGCUUCCAUCAAUCGGUAAGUGAGAAAGAUGAUUUCUCCCAUCACCACAGUGCGGAUUUCCACUUCUAUCACAGCAGCCAACAACAUCCGUUUUCCUGCUGCAGUAACCUCCAACCCCUGUUGGCAAUGCCGGGGAACAGCAUUAACAGCAGCAGCAGCAGCAGAAUUUGACCAUGGUAUGGUAUUGCGAAGAAUUUCCCCAUUAGAGGUUCCGUGCUUCGCGCACAUUCAAAAAUCCUGUUCAGACACGAAAACUCAACGACAAGGAGGUAUUUAUCAACUUGCUCAGCUGAAUUACCACCCGGAGUAACCCGAAUGCACUGAUUCCGUUGUAUAGUAGAAUGAAAAUAGACGAGGUAAGCGAACGUAAUCGCAUGAUAUUUUAAUGUUCGCAUUUUUAUCCGGAUCAUACAACUGCUAUGAAUACAUUCGACUCAAUCAAUCGGCGAAUGAGAAAGAUGAUUUCCCUCAUCACCACAUUGCUUAUUUCCACUUCUGUCACACCAGCCAACAGCAUCAGCUUUCCCGCAGCAGUAUCCUUUAAGUCCAGGGUGCUAUUCCGGGGAACAGCAUCAACAGCAACAGCAGCAGGACCUGGCCAUAGUAUUUCGGGCAAUUUUCCCCAUCGGAGAUCCCGUGCUUCACGCACAUUGAAGAAUCCUCCUCAGCCACAUAUCUGUGUCAUCAAGGGCAAGGAGGUAUUCAUCAAUGUACUCAGUCGGAUUUGAAUCGUCAAUCCAGACAACCCGGAUGCACCGAUUCCAUUAUAUACAUUAUUAUUUUUAUUAUA